AUUGAACGCUGGCGGCAUGCCUAACACAUGCAAGUCGAACGGUAACGGACCGCUGGGAUUCCUUCGGGAUGACCUUGGUGCCGACGAGUGGCGGACGGGUGAGUAAUACUUAGGAAUCUGCCCAGUAGUGGGGGACAACUCGGGGAAACUCGAGCUAAUACCGCAUACGCCCUACGGGGAAAGCGGGGGAUCUUCGGACCUCGCGCUAUUGGAUGAGCCUAAGUCGGAUUAGCUUGUUGGUAGGGUAAUGGCCUACCAAGGCGACGAUCCGUAGCUGGUCUGAGAGGACGAUCAGCCACACUGGGACUGAGACACGGCCCAGACUCCUACGGGAGGCAGCAGUGGGGAAUAUUGGACAAUGGGGGCAACCCUGAUCCAGCAAUGCCGCGUGUGUGAAGAAGGCCUGCGGGUUGUAAAGCACUUUCAGUAGAGAAGAAAAGCCUAGGGUUAAUAGCCUUAAGUCUUGACGUAACCUACAGAAGAAGCACCGGCUAACUCCGUG
Molecule: ribosomal RNA, 502 nt
Filed under: uncultured bacterium
Lineage: Bacteria
Description: bacterial SSU rRNA
Rfam family: Bacterial small subunit ribosomal RNA
Source: RNAcentral